Molecule: long non-coding RNA, 595 nt
Organism: Tupaia belangeri chinensis (Chinese tree shrew)
Lineage: Eukaryota; Metazoa; Chordata; Mammalia; Scandentia; Tupaiidae
Exons: 2
Source: RefSeq, a predicted model, not a curated record
UUCUACUUCUAGCCAUUGGAAGAUGUAGUCAAUUUUGAAUACCUCUUAGGAGUUAGAGUGCUUCCCUUUAGCUGUGAAUUAAUGUAUGUGGAAGUUUCUCUUAUGUUGUGUUUAACAAUGUGGUCUCAAGAGGUGUACUCUAUUCAGAUGUCUGAGUAGUAUCCCGGUAUUCACAGGUGGUUCAGUACAGCGGCGGAUCCCAGGGGACCUUAUGAAACUAGGGAAUUUCAGAACUGUGAUUCUAGAUUUGUCUAAUGCCUCUGAGACGGGGGAGAAUGGGGAAGAGAGAAUGAUGUUAGAGGAAAGAAAAAAUAUACAGGGGAUUAAUGGAAAAGUCGUGUGCCAUGCAUUAGUGUGGCACGUGAUUUCGCCAGGGACUGAGAUGGAACUGGGGUGCUACUGGAAGGCAAAGGCCUCUCUGUGGGACAAGUGAGAGGAUGGAGACAGGGAGUUAACAAACCAAAAGGCAGAGCAGAAAAAAAGAAUAAAAACCCUUCCUACCUCUCUAGGGAAUGGGGGUCCUGGACUUGGGAGCUUGGAAGUGGGGUGGAAGCAGUGGUGCCACUGCCUCAGUUUCUUAGUGGCCAGGGACCAA